This 199-nucleotide ribosomal RNA is filed under the name uncultured bacterium. RNAcentral's name for it is "partial 16S ribosomal RNA". It matches the Rfam family "Bacterial small subunit ribosomal RNA", at positions 1294 to 1500 of the family's 1533-position model. The record is from RNAcentral.
CGGAUCGGAGUCUGCAACCCGACUCCGUGAAGCUGGAUUCGCUAGUAAUCGCGCAUCAGCCAUGGCGCGGUGAAUACGUUCCCGGGCCUUGUACACACCGCCCGUCAAGCCAUGGGAGCCGGGGGCGCUUGAAGUGCGUCGCCGCAAGGCGCGCCCUAGAGCAAAACCGGUGACUGGGGCUAAGUCGUAACAAGGUACC